UACGUAGGGGCGAGCGUUGUCCGGAAUUAUUGGGCGUAAAGGGUUCGUAGGCGGUAAUACAUGUCAGAUGUGAAAUCUUGUGGCUUAACCACAUCAAGCAUCUGAAACUGUAUAACUUGAGUGGAGGAGAGGUAAGUGGAAUUCCUAGUGUAGCGGUGAAAUGCGUAGAUAUUAGGAAGAAUACCAGUAGCGAAGGCGACUUACUGGCCUCUAACUGACGCUGAUGAACGAAAGCGUGGGUAGCAAACAGGAUUAGAUACCCGUGUA
Molecule: ribosomal RNA, 267 nt
Filed under: uncultured prokaryote
Description: partial 16S ribosomal RNA
Rfam family: Bacterial small subunit ribosomal RNA
Source: RNAcentral